CCCGGCCUGCCUUCGUCGCCUCGGUGGGCGGCCCCUGGCGAGUCCACACCCCGCCCCGCCUCCUCCGAGUAGGAAACUCCGGGACCCUGCAAGGACUGAUUCACCCGUGAUUCAACCCGCCGCCGAGCGUGGAUUUUUAUGCACUGUACCCACCAGGGAAGUCCUGCUUUGUUGGUUCUCAUUGAGAAUUGUGUGCUCUGAGCAGCUGUUGAUGCGGCCCUGCUCUCCAGAGACUGUAUUUAUUCAUUUACCCAACCAAUAUUUAUUGAGCUCCUACUAUGUGCCAGGCUCUCUUCAAGAUCCUGGAGACUCAGUGUAAGUAUGAAAAAGUCCUUGUUUCACUCAUCAAGUGAUGAAUAAAUCUUUGGUAUAAUUUUGAGUACUAUUAAAUGCUAUGAAGAAAGACAAGGAAACUAAUGAGACAGAGAACAACAGGUGGGAGAACAACAGGUCAGGGUCUAUUUCAUGUGGGAAGAUCAGGGAAGCCUCUUUGGAGAAGGUGGCAUUUGAGCAGAGGCCUGAGAGGUAAGAAGUAAACCCAGGGGAGGAUCUGGGCAAAGUGCGUGGCUGAGACAGAAGAAACAGCCUGUGCAAAGACCCUGAGGUGGGAAACAAGCUUGACGCAGUCUUCGGAAAACAAAGCCCAGUGUGGCUGGAGCAGAGCAAGCUGAAUUUUUCAGCAUCUUCCACACACUGUGUUUCCCACAUAAAGCAAUGAAUGCAUGUAGUAAUUAUAGAGUUGAGAAUUGUAUGUAUAAUUGCAAAGAUCAAUCAAGGUUGCACGUGUAAAUCUCCCAGCUUAGUGCCUAGUACCUUAUGUUGUCGUUUAGUUGCUAAGUUAUGUCUGACUCUUUGUGACCCCAUGGACUGUAGCCUGCCUGCCUCCUCUGUCCAUGGGAUUUCCCAGGGAAGAAUACUGGAGGGGGUUGCUACUUCAUUCUCCUGGGGAUCUUCUCGACCCAUAGAUUAGACCCGUGUCUCCUGCAAUGGCAGGAGGAUUCUUUACCACUGAUCCACCAGGGAAGCCCCCUAGUGCAUUUUAAGUUUUAGUAAAUGUAAGCUAUAAUCAUUAUCUUUAUCACUUGGGCAGCUCAAUGUUCCUGCCUAACCAAUGCACAUAACUAGGACUCCACAGGAGAAAACAGGAGACCUAGGAUGCUGUGGGUAGCUGCUCUGCCCUCUCAGGCCUUAGGUCCGAGUCCUGUUUGUGGUCUGGUUACUUAUGUGCCCUAAGGCAAUUUCCCUACUUGUCUUGGAUGUGUGAGCCAUGUAAUUCCUUCUUCAAAAGUUAUAAAGAUGAGACUCCAGCCAAUAAUUCGACAUGAAAAGAGGCUAUUUUCUCAUCCUCAGGCUUAGUAAAGAUUCCUGCCUUAAGCCAGUCAUUAUAGAAAUGACUCAGCCUUUCUCUCGUGUGUUAAUAAGAUUUUACUGGUUUUGGUCCUGACUCAAACUGGCUUGGAGUGAUGAGAUCACGGAUGCUGUGCCCAUGUGUCAUCGUGUAACUGCUUACUUGACUACCCAGAUGCGCGUAAGGCCACUGCAACCUGUCACCUUCCCUCCAGGUCUGCUACGGUCCUCGCCCAACUCACACAAAGGGUACCUACCUGUUCCCUCCAUCCUCAUCUGCCAGGAAGCGGGGAUGCAGUUCUCUUUCCUCUCUAAGGGCCAAUCAGGCUGUGAAAAAGGGUUAGUGAGCUGAACUCAAAGUAAGGCAUCUGAGCUCUCUUUGCACCUUAAUAUCAACAAUGCUUGGUGUCUUUUGGGGAGGCCUCACUGUGAGAACUGAUCCAGGCCCGGGUCUCAAAUUAAACCUUUUAUUAGGGUUACGAGGGGGACCCUCUGGUCUCUUUUGGUUAAAAUUAUCCUGGUAGUUUAGAAGCAAACCAGAAUCCAUUUAUUUAUUUGACAGACAUUACGGAUCACUGGGUACCCAGUGCCCCAGCAGGGCUUAGGCACCAAGGACAGAGAGACAGAAGGCAGUCUCUAGUGCCUCAAAGUCUAGUGUAAGGAGACCGAUGAGAAAAUAAACAGUUGUAGAUUAGCGUGAUUGGUAUUGUAACAGAUCCUUGGGUGCUACAGGCCUUUGGGGGUACCUGGCCCACACUGAUAGUCAAGAAAGACUUUCUAAAGGAUGGAAUGCUUAAAUGACUUUGGAAGGAUGCAUAGGUGUCAUAUAAUCAGGAAAGGUCCAGGAAGGGGGCAGAGGGAUGUUCCUAGAGAUGAAACAGCCUGAAAAGCCAGCUAGCCGUGACCACUAACAUCCAUUUUCUCCUUCUUGCUGGGUGCACAGUUCGACCAUAUGACCCAGUCCCCCUUACAGGUGAGUGUGGCCCCGUGACUGAGUUCUGGCCAGAGGCAGGUGUGCAGAGGUGAUGGGUGAUGGGGGGCCCCGCCCAGGGUCCUCUCCUGUGCGCCCUUCCCUGCGCCUUCCCAGUUCAGCUCCUUGGGAGCAGGAGGAGUCGGGCCCCAAAGGGCCCUGUGUGCGGCUUGAGGGAAGUCCAGAGUUAAGGGGCAGGUGAUAAGCACAGGGAAGCAAUCACAUUUAGCUUUUAGAAUAAUGGAGCUAGGGUGAUAUUUGUGACAAGGUUGAACUUAACCUGAGGAAAACAGCCACGCAAAAUCCUCUACCCUUUGGAGUUUUCACCACCCAACCACCAUCCUUUUGUGAUCCAUAGGUGAAACCUCAAAGGACCACCACCCUCAAAUAUUCUGAGAUAGACCCAUCUUCAUCCUUCCUCAAGGCUCCUGUAAGAUUCAGGAUGACUCCCUUGUUCACCUGCCUGUAUGAAGCCCCAGGUCCCUUCCUUUUCUUUGAGAUGUUCCUCCUUAAUGAACAUUCUCCCUGUUGCAAUAGACUGAAUAAAAGCAUCUCUUUCAGUG
Molecule: long non-coding RNA, 2880 nt
Organism: Bubalus bubalis (water buffalo)
Lineage: Eukaryota; Metazoa; Chordata; Mammalia; Artiodactyla; Bovidae
Exons: 2
Source: RefSeq, a predicted model, not a curated record